Canis lupus familiaris (dog) is the source of this 1153-nucleotide long non-coding RNA. RefSeq lists it as uncharacterized. The transcript has 3 exons. The record is from RefSeq and is a predicted model, not a curated record. Lineage: Eukaryota; Metazoa; Chordata; Mammalia; Carnivora; Canidae.
CUGGUUUCUCCAUUGUGAAGAAAUGGCCUUUAACUGUUGGGAGUCUUGGGAUGCUAGAGUCCUGGGUUAGAACAAGGGGAGGUAUAGUGGGUUUAGUUCUCUGUUUUCAAGACACUUGGGAUCUGUCUUUGGGUGGAAAGAUCAUGACCCCAAAACAAGCUCCAGACGCAGGGGCCCCACCCGCUGCAGGGGCCCCACCCGCUGCAGGGGCUCCACCUGUGGCAGAGGCCCCACCCGCUGCAGGGGCCCCACCUGUGGCAGAGGCCCCACCCGCUGCAGAGGACUCUAAGAAGCCACCAGAGAUAACACAGACACCUGAAGAACUGGCAUUUUAUGCCCCGAAUUACAUAUAUUUGACCAUCCUGGCCGUAAUUACUUUCCCUCCCCUGGGAUUACUAGCUGUAUUCUUCAGUUACAAGACCACGCAGGCCAACAAGAACAGCCAAUGGGAAGAUGCUUACAUCAACUCAGGCCGAACUGGUUGGCUGGAUGUAUUCUCCAUACUCAUCGGUUUAGCCAUCAUUUAUGUCUAUGCCCUAUUUAUGUGAAGGCCAGGAAGUAGUCCAUGGGUCCACCCCAAACAGCAUCCAGCCACCAAAACACUAACCAGCCCAAUCAGCUACCAUGCAAGAAACCAACAGCUAAGACAUCUUCUAGCCAAGAAACCUAUCAGCCAAGGAACCCAACAUCCAAGCAACCCACUAGCCCAGGGACAUCAUACCACUUCAUCUUCUUGGCCUCCAGAGCCAUCUUCAUCCACCGUGGGGGUCCUCAUUUUCAUGCCCUGGAUGUGCUUAGCUCCUUGAUACUGGGUUGCUCUUUCAGAAAAAUAUUUACUUAAACCAAUAAAAAUAAAGGGAAUGUUCCAGCUUCUCCACCUGAUCUUAGCCAAAAGGCCAAGAAGUGAUGUUGUUCCAGCUUCUCAUGUGUGUGCAUAUGUAUGUCUGUUUCUGAGUCAGUGUCUGUGUUUUGCUAGGGCUACAUGUUUCCUAUCUCACUUUUUCUAGUAAAACAGUAAUCUCCAGCUUUUGAGAUCCCAAAGUCAAACUGUUAAGGGAAGAAUGGAAAGACUCCAAGAAAUAAACAAUAGAUUUGGUGGUAGAGCUGAUGAAGACCACCUCUCUCCCAGUCCUGAAAGCUGCCACAAACAAUU